AUAUGGUCAAGUUACUAAGGGUGUAUGGGGGAUGUCUAGGCGUCGAGAGGCGAUGAAGGACGUGGUAGGCUGCGAUAAGCCCGGGGCAGGAGCCGAACAUCCGUUAAUCCCGGGAUUUCCGAAUGGGGCAACCCGGCGUCACUGGGCAACCAGAUGGCGUCAUCUAUGGCUGAAUGCAUAGGCCAUACGAAGCUAACGCAGGGAACUGAAACAUCUAAGUACCUGCAGGAAAGGAAAUCAACCGAGACUCCGUGAGUAGCGGCGAGCGAAAGCGGAAUAGCCCAAACCAGUCCCGACUUGUCGGGAUUGGGGUUGUGGGCGCCGGUAAACAGUUACAAAGGCAUCGCAAGCAGAACGGUCUGGAAAGUCCGACCAUAGAAGGUGAGAGUCCUGUAUGCGAAAGCGAGAGCCCUGUGUUACUGCCGGCGUACCAGAGUAGCACGGAGCUCGUGGAACUCUGUGUGAAGCUGGGGGGUCCACCCUCCAAGGCUAAGUACUACUCGACGACCGAUAGUGAAAAGUAAGGUGACUGAACGAUGAAAAGUACCCCUAUUAGGGGAGUUAAAAGUACCUGAAACCAUACACCUACAAGCUGUGGGAGCCCUAUGACGUACUGUUCGCAGUGCGUAAUGGGUGACCGCGUGCCUUUUGCAUAAUGAGCCGGCGAGUUACCGUCUGUGGCAAGGUUAAACAGU
Molecule: ribosomal RNA, 695 nt
Filed under: Planctomycetes bacterium B3_Pla
Lineage: Bacteria; Pseudomonadati; Planctomycetota
Description: partial 23S ribosomal RNA
Rfam family: Bacterial large subunit ribosomal RNA
Source: RNAcentral